Molecule: ribosomal RNA, 255 nt
Filed under: uncultured bacterium
Lineage: Bacteria
Description: partial 16S ribosomal RNA
Rfam family: Bacterial small subunit ribosomal RNA
Source: RNAcentral
UACGUAGGGUGCAAGCGUUUGUCCGGAAUUAUUGGGCGUAAAGAGCUCGUAGGCGGUUUGUUGCGUCGGCUGUGAAAUCCCGAGGCUCAACCUCGGGUCUGCAGUCGAUACGAGCAAACUAGAGUGUUGCAGGGGAGACUGGAAUUCCUGGUGUAGCGGUGAAAUGCGCAGAUAUCAGGAGGAACACCGGUGGCGAAGGCGGGUCUCUGGGCAACAACUGACGCUGGAGGAGCGAAGGCCGUGGGAGCGAACAGG